This 705-nucleotide ribosomal RNA is filed under the name uncultured Pelagibacteraceae bacterium. RNAcentral's name for it is "bacterial SSU rRNA". It matches the Rfam family "Bacterial small subunit ribosomal RNA", at positions 139 to 880 of the family's 1533-position model. The record is from RNAcentral. Lineage: Bacteria; Pseudomonadati; Pseudomonadota; Alphaproteobacteria; Candidatus Pelagibacterales; Candidatus Pelagibacteraceae.
AGGAAUAACACGAGGAAACUUGUGCUAAUACCUCAUAAGUCUUUACGGAGAAAGCUUUAUGCGCCAAUGGAUGAGCCCGCACUUGAUUAGUUUGUUGGUGGGGUAAUGGCCUACCAAGACAAUGAUCAAUAGCUGAUUUGAGAGGAUGAUCAGCCACAUUGGGACUGAGACACGGCCCAAACUCCUACGGGAGGCAGCAGUAGGGAAUCUUGCACAAUGGGGGAAACCCUGAUGCAGCGAUGCCGCGUGAGUGAAGAAGGCCCUUGGGUUGUAAAGCUCUUUCGUCGGGGAAGAAAAUGACUGUACCCGAAUAAGAAGGUCCGGCUAACUUCGUGCCAGCAGCCGCGGUAAUACGAAGGGACCUAGCGUAGUUCGGAAUUACUGGGCUUAAAGAGUUCGUAGGUGGUUAAAAUAGUUGGUGGUGAAAUCCCAGAGCUUAACUCUGGAACUGCCAUCAAAACUUUUUAGCUAGAGUAUGAUAGAGGAAAGCAGAAUUUCUAGUGUAGAGGUGAAAUUCGUAGAUAUUAGAAAGAAUACCAAUUGCGAAGGCAGCUUUCUGGAUCAUUACUGACACUGAGGAACGAAAGCAUGGGUAGCGAAGAGGAUUAGAUACCCUCGUAGUCCAUGCCGUAAACGAUGUGUGUUAGACGUUGGAAAUUUAUUUUCAGUGUCGCAGCGAAAGCAAUAAACACACCGCCUGGGGAG